This 425-nucleotide ribosomal RNA is filed under the name uncultured prokaryote. RNAcentral's name for it is "bacterial SSU rRNA". It matches the Rfam family "Bacterial small subunit ribosomal RNA", at positions 355 to 872 of the family's 1533-position model. The record is from RNAcentral.
UGAGGAAUUUUGCGCAAUGGGAGCAAUCCUGACGCAGCAACGCAGCGUGGGUGAUGAAGGCCUUCGGGUCGUAAAGCCCUGUCAGGUGGGAAGAAUGUCCUGGAAUUGAACAGGUUUCGGGAGUGACGGUACCACCAGAGGAAGCACCGGCUAACUCCGUGCCAGCAGCCGCGGUAAUACGGAGGGUGCAAGCGUUAUUCGGAAUUACUGGGCGUAAAGCGCGUGUAGGCGGUCCUGCAAGUCUGAUGUGAAAGCCCCGGGCUUAACCCGGGAAGUGCAUUGGAAACUGCAGGGCUUGAGUACUGGAGAGGAUGGGGGAAUUCCCGGGGUAGAGGUGAAAUUCGUAGAGAUCGGGAGGAAUAUCAGUGGCGAAGGCGCCCAUCUGGACGGUAACUGACGCUGAGACGCACCGACUUCUGCUCCGC